This is a long non-coding RNA of Acipenser ruthenus (sterlet), 549 nucleotides long. RefSeq lists it as uncharacterized. The transcript has 4 exons. Lineage: Eukaryota; Metazoa; Chordata; Actinopteri; Acipenseriformes; Acipenseridae. The record is from RefSeq and is a predicted model, not a curated record.
AGGAAAGGUACAGCGUUUGUGAUCCACUUCGAAACAAUAAAUGUUGGGGUUUUAUUUUGACCAGGAAACAUUUUAGCUGUCCGGUAUAGCUUAGACCUACCUGUACUUGUGUGGAGUGCCGGUACUGUUCCUUUCACACAACGACAAGUAAAGGCGGUCCUGCAUGUGGCAAGCUCACCCCGGCUUUGUCACAAUGAUAUAGAUAUAUAUUGAAGGUAACCAUUGCAGAUGCAAAUUCAAACAAGACAACAGGAAAAGGGCCAAUGGCACUGCAGCCACAACCGAGCACCUGCUUUCAUCUCCAGCCCGGGCGAGCGAGUGCUGAAACGGCAGAGCAGGUCAAACAACAAACAUGGCCACUUGCAGCUACUGUUUCCAUGGUGAUAGGUCAAGGGUAUAAUCAAGCUUUCUGAAAUCUGUAUAGGUCAGAGGUUCCCAUCCCCAAGAGUACUGAUGCAUCCUGGAGCUGCGAUGUGUCUGCUUUGAAUAUCGUAACAUGUACACUGCUCCUAGCUUUUUGUAAUAAAUUUGUAUUUAUAUUCCAAUAAA